ACGGGUGAGUAACACGUGGAUAACCUACCUAUAAGACUGGGAUAACUUCGGGAAACCGGAGCUAAUACCGGAUAAUAUUUUGAACCGCAUGGUUCAAAAGUGAAAGACGGUCUUGCUGUCACUUAUAGAUGGAUCCGCGCUGCAUUAGCUAGUUGGUAAGGUAACGGCUUACCAAGGCAACGAUGCAUAGCCGACCUGAGAGGGUGAUCGGCCACACUGGAACUGAGACACGGUCCAGACUCCUACGGGAGGCAGCAGUAGGGAAUCUUCCGCAAUGGGCGAAAGCCUGACGGAGCAACGCCGCGUGAGUGAUGAAGGUCUUCGGAUCGUAAAACUCUGUUAUUAGGGAAGAACAUAUGUGUAAGUAACUGUGCACAUCUUGACGGUACCUAAUCAGAAAGCCAUGGCUAACUACGUGCCAGCAGCCGCGGUAAUACGUAGGUGGCAAGCGUUAUCCGGAAUUAUUGGGCGUAAAGCGCGCGUAGGCGGUUUUUUAAGUCUGAUGUGAAAGCCCACGGCUCAACCGUGGAGGGUCAUUGGAAACUGGAAAACUUGAGUGCAGAAGAGGAAAGUGGAAUUC
Molecule: ribosomal RNA, 580 nt
Filed under: uncultured bacterium
Lineage: Bacteria
Description: bacterial SSU rRNA
Rfam family: Bacterial small subunit ribosomal RNA
Source: RNAcentral